RNAcentral lists this long non-coding RNA (7292 nucleotides) under Citrus x clementina. RNAcentral's name for it is "Citrus clementina (C. clementina) long non-coding RNA (CCLE_LNC001006)". Lineage: Eukaryota; Viridiplantae; Streptophyta; Magnoliopsida; Sapindales; Rutaceae. The record is from RNAcentral.
CAUCAUUACUUGAUGCAUGUAAUCUUAUUACUCUUUUAUAUGCACCAAUAUUCACACAAAUAGAUACAAUAGCUCUACCUGAUCAAAGAUUUUGGGUCCACCUUUGAUUACUACAACAACAAUUAAUAGAGAAAUACAACAUUGUAAUUAAAGGAUCUUGUAAUUAAUUUAAUUUCAAUGAGAUCACAACACGAACAGAGUCAUUAUCAACUCAUAAUCUUUCACAUUCUUAAUUUAAUUAAAUUAAUCAACAUUCCUAUUCAAUAAACAUUUCAUCAAUUAUUAUAAUUAUUAUGUCUUUUUAUUUUAUUCAUAUUCAUAAUUAGAUUCAAUCUCCACAGUUAACGAACUGGUAGUCCACCAUGAGGUGACCUUGAGCAUUGCCUCUUCGGUCAGUAUCGAGCUGCCGGAAAACACCAGCGUCCAAAUCUAAACCUCCAUUGCUGCACUGAUCAACAAUUCUCACCGUUGCUUGAGCUCUUGUGGCUCUAUUAGUCACCUGCAUGCAUAUGCAAUUUCAAUUGGUUUAUUUCCUUUUCUGACUAUUAAGCUCUUAAUUUAUCACCAACUCUUCUCCUACUCAUCCUAUGAAUUUUUAUUGUCUAUCAUCUGCAUCUUAAAGUAGGCAAAUAAACGAAUUUGAUUGUUUUAUAAAUUUGUGUUAAGACUUUUCUUAAAUACUAUUAUUGAACUCUUAUCUAUCAGUUUAAACUUUUGGGUCAAGCAACUUCCUAAUAAUUUGUACUUUUAACUUUUUUACUUGUUCUAUUUUUGUGUUCAUUUUAAUGGUAAGGCUUAGCACGUAUCUAAGUAGACAUACCAAUACUUCUUCAUUUUAUUAAUAAAUUUCUGUGAAUCUGUCACAAUUUUCUAAAAAACGGUAAUAAAUAUAAAAUCUCGAAAACAUUUUGCUUUUAAAAAAUAAAAACACAUGAAAUAUUGAAAGGGAGGAUGAAUUUUGCUACCCUCUAAUGUAAAAAAUUUCACAGAAAAUACAGCUCAACCACAAAACAAUCAAGAAUGAAAAUCAUAGAAAAAAUACGAGCAAUAAAACCCAAAAACUGUGGAUUGGAAAUAUCAAUAAUAUCUCAUACGUUGUGAUAUAUAGUUAUCUUACCCUUAAGCACUUGCCACAAGAAGCUUGUCCACGAGGCCCAACGGGGCCACAGAAGGCAGUCCAUCCGUAUUUCCUGCGCCAAGACAAGGGCUUGUUUGCAUCCCAUGUUGAGCAGUAAGCACUCACAGCAUUCAAGUCCCAUCCAUUCUGUUCAGGAUUGUAAAAGUGAUAAGUUGCUCUAACAUUAGAAGCACUUUGGCCAUCACCGCUGCUGCUGCUGCCGGGCCUACAAUUACUUUGACAAUUCUUAGAAGGUGAGCAAUACUCAUCAGUUGAGCCACAAUAACCAUACUGGCUGCAACAUAGGUUGUUGGCACAAGUCCGGCCACCGGCUUGCCGGCCGCAUUGCUGGGCAGCGGCAAGAGCCAUUGAACAAAUUAGCAACACCAUGCAUAAGCUUAAUUUUCCCAUUUUUAAUUCUUUUGUUUGUGAAGAUUUAUUGAGUGGUACUACAUGAAUUUAUAGGGAACCGAUAUUUUAAAAUGUUAGAGCAUUACGUAACAUGUCUUAUUGACUUCAAGACUUAUUCAAACGAUCAAAUCUUCUAGUUGCAGAUUUCUUUGACUCUCGGGAAUUUCAACUUAGAUUUGUUCUUGGAGAACAAUGAUAUACUUUUCUUCCUCAAUACGGGCAAGUUUCUGAAGAAGAGAGAUAACGAGAUGGGAAAAAUGGUGGUUUUAAAUUUUGCUGGUCAAACCGGGCAACUGAUUUGUGUCAGCAUUAUGGUUUUCUUGACGGUGGUCACAAUUAAUGUGGUUUAUCCGUAUCAAUUCUUAGCUCAAGAAGUAAUGUACCUUCUUAUUGACUGUUAAUUCUGAUAAAAUUUUAAACAUGGAUCGCCUUGUAUUAAUUAUAAUAUUUUGUUGGGACAGGGACAUUUAAUUAAUCGUUUAUCUAACAAUUUGAUCCUGCAAUAGUCAAACUGAUUUAUCCACAACAGUUCCCCUUAUUCCUCUAAUUCUUGGUUCACAAUUACAUGGAAGAGGGAAUAUAAAGAUUAUUGUGUUGUUGAUUGUUUAGUUAUUCACUGAAUUUAUGUUUAGAUUGUUGUAGUAAAAUUUCUCUGUAGUGAUAGUUUAUGUAGAAACAACCUUUAUAUAGUUAUAAAAAAUUAUAGUUUUGAUUUGAACUAAUUAUAAAUAAAAAUAGACUCCACAUUAAUUAUAAUAAGUUAUAAUUUUUCUACAUCCCUUCUUCAAGAAUCUCUAUAUAGUGGUACUUAUCUGUAUAUUGCAAAAAUCUAAUGUUAUCUUACAUAAGAUUUAAGAUAAAAUAAAAAAUUUUCUAAAUUCAUUUACGACAAUAUAUAAUUUAUUCUUUAGAGUUAUUACUAAAUUAUUGCACAACAUUUUUAGAACUUAUAUUGAGAGAAAAACAUUGAAGAGAACACAAAUAUCUGGACUUUUAAUAUGACUUUCGAUAUUUAGAGUACUAUAUAGAUACAUGUACUAAUUUUCUAUGUCUAUCUUUCACCAAUAAUUAUACAUUUGAUUUGAUAUGCUAUACUAAUUAAUUAUUAAUGUAGUGAAUAUUUUAUUUCUAUAUUACUUGCACUAAGAAUAAUUAAGUUUAAAUAAUAAUUUUUGUAACUACACCUCUAUUAAGUCAUAACCUUUAGAUAGUAAUAAAAAUUUGUUUGAUCCUAACGUUACGACUGUAAAGAACUUACAUGAUGUAUGUCACCUCUUGCGCUUGCUUCUCUUUUUUUUAAUCUAAAAUUCCUAAUGACUUUUCUCUAUUCCUUAGCUUAUAAAAUAAGAUAAGGCUAUUUUUUCUUUUUUAGGGUGGAUGCUCAUUGAUUAAAUACUUGUUUAUUUUUAAUAUUUUAAAAAAUACUCCAACAUUAGUUAUGUUAAGUUAAAUGUUAAUUUUUCUUUGUUUCUACAAUAUUACUUUUGGAAUGUUGAGUAAUAUACGAUGUGAUCCUAAGCAAGAGUCUUGGUAGCAUUAAAUAAAAGAAACUAAAGGUUAAUUUACUAAGCUAAUCCUUUAAAAAAAGUCAUUAGGGGGUUGUUUGGCUUUUGUCUAAAAUCUGAAUUUUAAUUAUUUUCAGACAUUUAUAGCUUUUAAAUUUUUUGUUGUUCAUCACUUAUAUUAGAUUAUAAGAUGUUUAGAUCUGAAUAAAAAAAGUUAAAUAUUUUGACUUUUAUUUGAAUGACAAAACAUCUUAAUGAAAUUUUAAUAUUCUCUCUCAUUAAUACCCUUAUUAAAUAAAUUUAUUUCUUAUUUUUAUUAUUUUUUUAUUUAUCCCUUUUUUAUGUACAUGUAUUCAACUAUAAUUUUUUUUUUUUUGUUGAAUGAGAAUUUUAAACAUAAUAGAGCUUUAAUGUUUUAUAAUAGGUUCAUCUCUUUGUAUUUAUAUUUACUAUUUUUAUAAUAGAUUUUGAAUUUUAUUUAACUCAAUAAUUUUAAUUCAAAUAAUUAAACAAUUCUUGAUUGGCUUAUGUAAUUAAUAAGAAAAAAUAUCAGUUUAAUAUAUUAAAAAUAACAUUAUAAGUAUCAUUUAUUAACGUAAAAAAAUGUGUUAGAUAUAUAUUUUAAUUUUCAUGUUUUGUUAAGUUAAGCAUUAUCAAUUUUUUUACGAAUAAAAUAAUUUAUUUAUAAUUUGUUGUGUGUUUGAACAAUGAAUAUAUGUUAAAAUAUCAUAUUUCAAAUGUUUUCUUUUUUGAAAAACAAAUAACCUAACACUUAUAUUCAAAUAUUGAAAAAUAAAAAUAAACAUGUCAUUCAAAUAUAUAUAUUUAGAUCUAUUUAGACUUCAAUCAAAUUCAACAUACAUUCAAAUUUCAACAAAACAUCAAACGCUACCUAUUUUUCAUUCCAAGGUAUAAUUUUCUGUUUCAUUCAUUUUAUGUGUUCUCCCCAACCCAUCAAGAUUCAUUUAAAAGAAAUAUAUAUAUCUACGAAAAUUUUGAUGAGGUUUCAUUUGGCUGCACAAACAAAUCAAUUGCCUAUCAUCAUUUAAUGCACCCCCGUAAUCUCGAAAAUUCAUCAAUCCACCCCAACCAUUUUACAUUUUUAAUUAAUUUUCGAGGGUGAAUUGAUAACUUUCCAGAAUUUUGAAGAUGAAAUAAUGAUAAUCAAUUUACUUUGUCGGGCAAUCAAAUUUUACCCUUUUGAUAAAGAUACAUCAUUAUUCUGAAGAUAUGAUCUUGAAGCUUCUCAAUUAAGUAUCAUGGCCAUUUGGCCAUUACAAUUUUAUUCUAUUUUUUUGGUAUCAAUUGGCAUUUGAGGCUUUUUCUUUCUUUCUUUUUCUUUUGGCCUUUGAGCCAUUAAAAAACAAUGAUAUUUUUCUGUCCUAGAAAAUCUUCCAAGAUUAAGUUUCCAAUCGAAAGAAUCUGAUUCGAGCCAUCUCAUUCACAGGAGCUUCUUCCCACACAAGUCACAAUAAUUUAAUGGAUUGAAUCAUGAACAAAGUUUAUUUAUAUAUCGGUUACACAUAACAUAUUUUCUCAUUGACAGAUGAUUAAUUCUAACAUAUAUAUGAGCACACCCAUUUUUCUAUUCGUGCGUUGAGACAAAUUUAUUUAGUUCCCAGCAGCUGCAGGCGGCCAACAAUUAAACUGACAAUUUUCGGACGGCGAGCAGUAAUCAUAAGUGGAGCCACAAAAACCAAACUGGCUGCAGCACAGAUUGUUGGGACAAGGCCUGUCAAGCCCUUGGCGGCCACAUUGUUGAGCCUUCACAGUAUAUGCCACCAUUGUUAGGCUUACAAUUAAUACCACAUAAAUGCAAAGCAAGAGGCUAAACUUUCUCAUCGUCAUCUUGUGAAUGUUGUUUAUUCUGGAUUUAUGAGUUUGUUUAUUUAUAUGCAGAAACCGAACCACCCAGGCCUGCCCUACCACUAAUUGAAUGAGGCAAUUUUUAUUUUUUGUUUUCCUUUUAAUUAGAGCACACUUUUUAGGAAGGCACAACAAAUAUGCCUAUUAAUACGUCUGCUAAAUAGGUACUGUUAAAACAUUUAUUUUAACAAUAUUUUAAUUGAUUCUACCAAUUUUGACAUUCCUUGUGCAUACAAUUAUAUUAAAAUCCUUGGAAAAAAGAACUUUCAUAUGAUUAAUUACGUUUUAUUAUGUUCUUCAGUCUUAUACGCAAAUUAAUACAGCUUUUAUAAAGAUAACGUUUUUUGGAUAGGCACCCUCUGUUCAAAUCCUAUGGAAAUAGAGGGCUAAAUGAUAUAUAUGUAUAUAUAUAUAUUUUAAUUACUGUUGAAGUAUGUUGUAAGGGGCAAAAAUAGUGUUUUUUUUAAAAAUUUUUUGCCCUUUUAAUGUAUUUAACAUCUUUUUUUCAACACUGAUCCUUUAUUUUCGUUAUUUCACUUUGUAAAAAAAUAUGAAUUUCGAAUGGUAAGACUUAUUGUAUCAUUCCUAGUAAGGUAGAUAAAUUUUUUAUUUUAUCUAUAAAUUAAAGUCACUAAUCCUGCAAAUGUUGAAUUGAAAUAUCAUUUUAGUUAAUCCCAAAUUAAAAUGAAUUUCUUGCUACAAUGCCCAGUGGUGAAAUUGUUUGUUACAAAAUAAGAGUUUUAAUGAUUAAUGGCUUUCGUUUUUUUAUAAGCAGAGGUUGGUAGCCUUUGCAUCAUUCAUAUGCUGGAGUCUAGAGAUCAUACACCGAAUCUGCACAUACCCUUAAUAAACUCGAUCAAGAAUCUCCUCAUGAAGAAUUGGAAUAUUUAUUUUAGACAAAUCUAUCGUGAGGCCAAUUUUGCGGCUGACUACUUGGUCAAAAAUGCAAGCUCUUACCUCUCGGAUUUCAAGAACCUUCUAUAGGUCUUGGUCCUUGGCUUUGUUAUGAUAUUUAUGGGACGAUAAUUCCUUGCUCUGUUGUGUCUUAGCUUAGCUAAGCCCUUUUUGAUAACAAAAAAACAAAAAAGAUUUUUAAGUACUCUCUAAGGGACGAGGCUCCUGGAGAUACAUUUUAUUAAUAAUCACACACUGGUAGCUUACAUACAGUAAGGUGGCUUAUGGUCAUAGCCAAAUAAGCACUUAAGUUUAUAUACAAAUUUAAGGGUGCAUGGCUUAUGGGUAUUGACAAUAAGCACUUAAUUCUUUUUGGUACUUCUUGAGAGGAAGAAGCUUAUUUAGUACAUAUAUAAACAGCCUUAAUUGGACAUUAAUCGAUAGCGCAUGCAUGGAUGCAAGCAUGCUUCAGUGGUCACUACAGUUCACAAGCUUGUAGUUAACAAUGAUGUGGCCUACAAGUUUGUGAACCGUAGCGACUGAAGCAUGCAUGCAUGUAUGUAUAUAUAUAUAUAUAUAUAUAUAUAUAUAUGUAUGUAUGUAUGUAUGUAUCUCCUACAUAGAAACAUAGAAUGAAUUAUUAGAAAAUGAGAAGGAAACAUGUUUAUAUGGGUAUUACUAGGAACGGGGUGGAGGGUAUUUUUAAAAACUUGAAUUAUUUUGUUUGUUUAAUGGGGUAAUGUUAGAAAAGGGGAUUUGCUAGGGAUUUAAAGGGAUGGCAAUAAUCCAACUCCUCAUUUUUUACUCGGUGUUGGUCCUUUGAUUGCAUUUAAAUGGUGGUGAUAUUUCCCACUUCAUUUGGCAAAGAUUUUAUGAGUAUGUACAAGGGAAAUUCUAUACGAACCGCAUGUUACCAAUAAGGAUUUCUGACGAUACCUCUACACCGCCUUUAACUUGUUACUUGUAUUAAGAGAAUUGUUGUCGGAAAUUCUUAGCGGCUAGGUAUUUUGAUCGAGCCAAAUUUUUAAUGUCGCAUCAUUACUUGAUGCAUGUAAUCUUAUUGCUCUUUAUAGGGACCAAUAUUCGCUCAAAUAGAUACAAUAGCUCUACCUGAUCAAAGAUUUUGGGUCCACCUUUGAUUACUACAACAACAAUUAAUAGAGAAAUACAACAUUGUAAUUAAACGAUCUUGUAAUUAAUUUAAUUUCAAUAUGAUCACAACACGGACAAAGUCAUUAUCAACUCAUAUUCUUUCACAUUCUUAAUUUAAUUAAAUUAAUCAACACUCUUAUUCAAUAAACACUUCAUCAAUUAUUACACUUAUUAUGUCUGUUUAUUUUAUUCAUAUUCAUAAUUUGAUUCAAUCUCCACAGUUAACGAACUGGUAGUCCACCAUGAGGUGACCUUGAGCAUUGCCUCUUCCAUCAGUAUCGAGCUGCCGGAAAACACCAGCGUCCAAAUCUAAACCUCCAUUGCUGCACUGAUCAACAAUUCUCACA